RNAcentral lists this long non-coding RNA (724 nucleotides) under Gossypium barbadense (sea-island cotton). Its description in RNAcentral is "long non-coding RNA (GBAR_LNC015770)". Lineage: Eukaryota; Viridiplantae; Streptophyta; Magnoliopsida; Malvales; Malvaceae. The record is from RNAcentral.
UCAUGUUCUUUUACUAGGUCCUGGCUCGUUUCUUCCUUUGCACAAAGGCUCAGGAGGUGUAUGGUGGUGGGGUUUCAGGCCAGGCAUCCAUGGCAUAUCAGAGCUGGAUCUUAAUUUCUCAACAAAUCAUAGAACUCUUGUGUUGUGUCGAUUCAGACUGGACUUUCAUUCGAGUCUUCCAUUUUCACAUCAGUUUGUUUAUCAGGCUCCCCUGUGGGUUCAUUGUUUUUAUUAUCUUCUUCCUUUGUAUCAUCAGUGUGAAUACCCAAAACUACGGGGUGAACUUCAGAGGCACCUAAUGUGGUAAGGACGACAUUGAUGCUUUUCAUUUGUUCAGCUGGUAGCUUCUUUUCCUCUAUGUUAACCUUUUCACUGUGUCUGUAAAUGGCGUAGAGAAGCAUCUGGAGCAUCCCCAAGAUGAAGCCUAGUACGUUAGGGAGCUGUCAAAUCAAAUCACAAACAACAACAAAAAAGAAUCAAUCUAUUUGUGGCUUCAAGUGAAAGUGAAGGGCGAAAUAAUAAAUAAAUGGUGUCCCACAAUAUUGAACUUACAGCUACACAGAGGUCCUUAAUAAAUAGUCCAUAAGCAAACCACAUUACUGCACUCAAUGUGAGGAAAAAUGAUAAGGUGAAAGGCAUGAACUCAACGCUCUUUGUUCGUAUAACUCGUGCCUGCAUGGAGAACAUAAUUAGAAAUUAAAGAAACUUAACUAGUUAAUUAAUC